CUGACUUCCUACGCCUUUCUGUCUGACGAUGUUCUCUGGAGACUGCAGAAAUUCCUGAAAAUUUAAGGACAGGCUCUCAUGAGCCGGCACGAGCUAGCUCAGCACACCGCUGACUCUGCGCCACCUCUAGUGACUUCAUCCAGUCUUUGCAAUCUGGCUCUCAUUGCUGGGAAAGAUUUUUCUCAGCCUGUACCAAAGAAAGAAAACCAGAGGCUCUAAGUAGUGAUUAUUUCAGAGGGAUGGACUUAAAGCUGCUCAAAGCUCAGGAGAUGAUAAAGAGGAGAGUGAAGGUCCCAGGGACACAGGAAAAUGGUCUAAGGCCGAGAGUCCAACUGCACCAUUCCAGAUUUGACCCGCACAACACUACCGGAUUAGUCAGUGAAUGGGCAGAUGACUCAAUCAGAGCCAACUCUGAAACGACUGGGGAAAAAAGCAAGUCAUCUUCCUGGUUGGCCUUGAACCUGGCAGGAUAAGAUGCUGCAGCUGCUUCACUCAAGUAGCGCCUGAGAAUAAAGCCAAGAGAAGGCAGAUGUAAGAGUGGAAAAAAACAAAAUCUUGUUGUCAUUGUUUGGGUCCUGAAUCCAGCCUUGUCUAAAGCCAGUACACCCCUAAACUUUUCG
This 620-nucleotide long non-coding RNA is filed under the name Equus caballus (horse). RNAcentral's name for it is "lncRNA (ENSECAG00000047536.1)". The record is from RNAcentral. Lineage: Eukaryota; Metazoa; Chordata; Mammalia; Perissodactyla; Equidae.